ACCCGCUGAAUUUAAGCAUAUCAUUAGGCAGAGGAAAAGAAAGCAACUGCGAUGCCGUUAGUAAUUGCGAAUGAAACCGGCGAAGUACGUAUGAAGGAAACUGAUUGUGUGUCAGUGAUGUGCUGGUGCGGCAGUAGCAUGCGAAGACGUGUGCGUCAUGUGCAAGUGAAAUCUUGUGCCAAGCGGGUGACAGUCCCAUGCCGGUGCACACGAUCUCGAGCAGUGCGCUGCACACGGUGUAUGCACUUUGUAAGUGGUGCAUCGCUUAGGUGGUAACCAUCACCUACUACUUAAUAUUGAAUUGAUAUCAAUAGCGAACAAGUACCAUGAGGGAAAGAUGAAAAGAACUUUGAAAAGAGGGUGAAAAUCACAUGAAGUCGGUGUACUCUAUUGAUUGUGUUUGGUAUGUGCAAUCGCUUGCAGGCGAGGGAAACACAGCUGCCCAAAGCUACGGUUUACCGUCACCUUCGCAUGCCUUUGCACUCUCCUUAACCUGCAGCCCAUGCUUGUUUCGGCGUGUAGCAGAGCAUGUCCCCAUGGAUGCGCUCUGGCACAGCUGAAAUGCGAGGAGCGGCAGGAGCUACACCUCACGGUGCCAGCAGCGCUACCGAACACAACUGCCCGUCUUGAAACACGGACCGAGGAGUCUAGCAAUGCAGCGAGCACUAUGCAGAGUACAGCAACGUGCGCAAUGAAAGUGAAAACUGCCAAUACGUGCGGCAGUGGCCGACAAUGUCGCUUCGGUGAUGUCGUUUGAGCUGGAGUGGAAGUGCUAGGACCCGAAAGAUGGUGAACUAUGCCUGGGUAGGGAGAAAACAGGGGAAAUUCUGUUGGAAGCUCGUAGCGAUACUGACGUGCAAAUCGUUUGUCAAACCUGGGUAUAGGGGCGAAAGACUAAUCGAACCAUCUAGUAGCUGGUUCCCUCCGA
Molecule: ribosomal RNA, 928 nt
Filed under: Oxyrrhis marina
Lineage: Eukaryota; Dinophyceae; Oxyrrhinales; Oxyrrhinaceae
Description: LSU rRNA
Rfam family: Eukaryotic large subunit ribosomal RNA
Source: RNAcentral